This 475-nucleotide small RNA is filed under the name Pongo abelii (Sumatran orangutan). RNAcentral's name for it is "processed transcript". Lineage: Eukaryota; Metazoa; Chordata; Mammalia; Primates; Hominidae. The record is from RNAcentral.
AUAGGUCUUUGAGUGCAGUGCGGGCCGGGAGGCUUCCGACCCCACAGCACCCCGCCGCUCUGGGCGCCCGUCCUCUGUGAGGUGACACUAAGCUGAAAACUGUACGGGGUGUUGUGACAAGGUACUGCAGCGAUUAUGGCAUGAUUGAUGAUUUGAUCUACUUCUCCAGUGAUGCUGUGACUAGCAGAGUGCUUCUGAAUGUUGGACAGGAAGUGAUUGCAGUUGUGGAAGAAAAUAAAGUGUCCAAUGGACUGAAAGCAAUCAGGGUAGAAGCCAUCUCUGAUAAGUGGGAAGACGACAGCAGAAACCAUGGGAGUCCCUCAGACUGCAGCCCCCGAGUGUUGAUUGGCUGUGUGACUUCCCUGGUGGAGGGCGCAGGCUGUAUCAAUCAGACCACCUACUUCUCUCUGGAGAGUGUGUGCGAAGGCUUCAAGCCCUGCAAGGGAGACUGGGUGGAGGCUGAGUACCGGAUCCG